RNAcentral lists this long non-coding RNA (296 nucleotides) under Crocodylus porosus (Australian saltwater crocodile). RNAcentral's name for it is "lncRNA (ENSCPRG00005005503.1)". The record is from RNAcentral. Lineage: Eukaryota; Metazoa; Chordata; Crocodylia; Crocodylidae.
AAACUGGCUUUAAAAGCUCGCCACCAUGUAUUCAAAGUGACAGUGCUGCUUUUAAGAACCCUUAAUUGUUGACUGGUUACCAUUUUAUGAAGUUCCAAAAGCAGAUAGUUCUCCUUGGCCAGAAGAACGUGGUGAGAAACCCUGGAGGAUGGUGGAACGCAGAUGUUUAUGUGCAGUUAUAAAUACUGCCAAAAUUGGGUUGCUUGAGAUAACAUUUCAUAUCGAAAUCAACCAGCCAGUGCAGAAGAAAACAAUCAGCAGUAUAAGGCAGUCCUUUCCUUCAGGACCAAGUACAU